UCGCGCGCUUGCAAGACACAAGCUGUGGCUUAUCUUGUAACACCUUCUUCUGAUCAAUGAAUUUGGCAGUUCUCCUGCCAACAUUCAAAAAAAAAAAGAAACAAGCUGUGGCUUCAUGGCUACAUCUCUCCCUCUCUGGCGCCACCAAGCGUGCACAUGAGGCCAUAUAUAUGAUCUCUGUCUCUCUAUCUCUCUCUAGAUCGCCUACUCCCUCUCUCAUAUCUCUCUUACCUCCGGUCCGGUGCAUGGCAGUUGAGGGGAAUGUUGUCUGGUUGGAGACCUGGCUCGCACGACGGCCGGACCCCGGAUCGAUCGACGGCGUGCGUGCGCGGUUUCGGACCAGGCUUCAUUCCCCCCAACUCAACCCUUCUUCUAUCGGAGACGACGGCGGCUAGCUGCAGCUUGUUUUGUUGGCCAAGCUGGGAAUCGGAGCAGGCGCCGCGUUUUCUUUGAGCUAAGGAGGUCAGCUUCAGCAAGAAGAGGUGGUGGUCGAGUUACUCCUGAAUCAAGUGUUAAAGACGUCGGAACAAACUGCAAGGAAAACAGACGGUCCAAGAAUCUGGAGCAAUCAAUACCUGGGAAUCAAAGCUGAGAAGCGAGCUCUCCAAAUGUUUAGAUUACGGUUUGCGCCCGCACAAAUGUCAACCACUUCAUAUGCGAUAUUCUCACC
Molecule: non-coding RNA, 670 nt
Organism: Triticum urartu
Lineage: Eukaryota; Viridiplantae; Streptophyta; Magnoliopsida; Poales; Poaceae
Source: RefSeq, a predicted model, not a curated record